Brassica oleracea var. oleracea is the source of this 333-nucleotide long non-coding RNA. RefSeq lists it as uncharacterized. The transcript has 3 exons. Lineage: Eukaryota; Viridiplantae; Streptophyta; Magnoliopsida; Brassicales; Brassicaceae. The record is from RefSeq and is a predicted model, not a curated record.
GUCAAGUUCUAUCUGAUGAUCACUAUCUUUCUCUAGCAAGUUACGAUGAUCUAAGGAAAAUCGAUGAGAAGAAGAAUUUUUUCCUUAAAGAUGUGAUUGGACAAGUUGUAGAUCUAGAUGGAAUUCAAACUGUUCAAGCUAGGGGGAAAGACGAGCAGAGAGUUCAGUUUCGUUUACGCGACGCCAGUGGUGAUGAUGUUGCGUGUUGCUUGUGGAGGAGGUUCGCGGAACAACUCGACCAAGUGUUCCAAGAUAACAACAAUGAAAUUGUUAUUUGCUUGAUAAGGUUUGCUAAGAUCACCUUUUUCAGAGGUAUACAUUAUAUGAUUUCAA